Molecule: long non-coding RNA, 6755 nt
Filed under: Podarcis lilfordi (Lilford's wall lizard)
Lineage: Eukaryota; Metazoa; Chordata; Lepidosauria; Squamata; Lacertidae
Source: RNAcentral
CAAGGGCUGGGGGAUCUCUCCCCCCUUUCGUUUGCAUUGUUUAAACCACCUUAAUUGUGCUUUUCUUUUCUGAACAUAAUAAUGGCUCAGUAGAUUAACGGGGAACUUAAUCGGAAGGAGGCAUGAAAAGCCCGCAGAACACACAAAGCCAGAUGCAUUGGAUUUGCAGGCACUUCUUUGCCAACUGUCAGGUAUUGAAUUCACAUCAGAAGUUCCAAAAGGCAGCUAGCAGGGAGUUCAGACUCUUUCAGAGAUUCCCCCGCCUUGGCCUUUAAACUGGGGCUGGUGUCAGAGGUUGGCAUCAUUGUCAGCUGCCUAGGACCAAACCCCAUUAUGGGGCCAAGGGCUCUGCCAAUCCGUGGAGCCUUUUUCCCUAUUGUUGCUCCUCCUCCUGUCAGUAUUAUUGCCUGUUCACCUGGCUUCUCUGCGUGAGCAAGCAGUGAGUGGGGAGAGCAGCAAUAACUUCUGCAUGCCUUGUUCUCUCUCCAUUUAUCUGAGAGGCAGUGCGGAUUGCACCCAGAGAAGGAGAAAGAGAAUGGAGAGUGGUAACAGUGGCAGGGAAGAGGAGGUGAGUGUGCUCAAGGAGGGCCACCCACUAACUUCCAAAAAACCCUAAAGGUAAAGGUAAAGGGACCCCUGACCAUUAGGUCCAGUCGUGACCGACUCUGAGGUUGCGGCGCUCAUCUCGCUUUAUUGGCCGAGGGAGCUGGCGUACAGCUUCCGGGUCAUGUGGCCAGCAUGACUAAGCCGCUUCUGGCGAACCAGAGCAGUGCACAGAAACUCCGUUUACCUUCCCGCUGGAGCGGUACCUAUUUAUCUACUUGCACUUUGAUGUGCUUUCGAACUGCUAGGUUGGCAGGAGCAGGGACCGAGCAAUGGGAGCUCACCCCGUCGCGGGGAUUCGAACUGCCAAUCUUCUGAUUGGCAAGUCCUAGGCUCUGUGGUUUAACCCUCAGUGCCACCCGCAUCCCUGCUCAGCCCCAAACUGUGCCAACUCUCCAACCAAUGGUCAGGGAUGAUCGGAGUUGUAAUCCAGCAAGAUCUGGAUGUGGUGGCGGACCUUGGGGUCUCAGAUUUCAGCAGUGCCCUAUGCAACACCAAAAUCUGGCACUCCCUGCCUCUCGCCUUCCAUUCUACAUCAUAGUUAUAGUGCCCCCUUUGGUACUCCUUCGGCUCUGUGCCCAGUGCGACUGAGGCAGCCACACUCCCCUAAAUCCACCUCUGCUGGAGGGCACCUGGUUGGGCUUUGUGGUUGUGUAUAUUCAGAGAUGGCCAUUUCAUGACUACAUUGGGGCUUCCUAGGAGAGGCAUGGAGUUUGUGACUUACCUGAGCCCAGUUCAGAUAGACACUCAACUAACAUCUCAGUCGUAAGCAUGUUUACUUGAAGCAAGUCCCACUGACUUUUAAUGGGGCUAAAAUCCAAAGAAAUAUGCAGUCUGUGCGUACUGAGCUGCUACUACAGCGAGAGAGCAAGUUGUAUUCUUCCUACUUGAUGCUUCAUUAAUUUGGCCCUAAUUGGCCAUGUAAACAAAAAGAUGCAGUUAUUCAAUCAGAACUCAGGCUUUGAGCUGCCAAGAUCUAGACAGAGGGGGAAAGGAAUGCACUAGUAGUAUUCUGGGCCUUGUGAUACCUAAAAAAAGGAAUCUUCUCCACUCCCCACAGUCUUCUCACCCAUCAGAAAUAAGGCAAUUAAGUAAAUUGUGGUAGGGGAAAAGUUAAAUAUCACCUCCCUACCCCCCACCCCCAAUAAUUCUUCAUUCACAGUCAUAGGACACUUUUGAGUGGGAUUUGGUCAUUUUCCAUUACUUUCCUUAUCACAAAAAGUCCAGUGUUUUGAGGAAGUAGAUUUAUUUCACUCCCAAACAAUUAUAAUUAUGCAACCUGAAUUUGCCUGUAAGAGCACAUCCACACCUCUACUUAUCCCAUGCUUCCCAGGCACAUGUCCUAGCAGUUUUGCCUUUGCACCACUGCUUUCCCUUGGAAAACCCUCUAUUUAGCACUAAAUUGGAACAAAUGGCAAUCUGCAGAAAACCCAGUUGCCAUUUAUUCUGCUUCGUCACCAAUUCAUGGGUUUUCCCAGAGGAAAGCUGCAGGGCAAACAGAAGUGUGGAUGAGGUCUUAUAGGCAAAUUCCAGUUGCACAAUUGCAUUGUUUGGGAGUGCAACAGGGCUACUUCCCCCAAAGACCAGACUUUUUGUGAUAAGGAAAGUGAUGAAAAAUGCUAUGGAAAGUGUGGGAUAACACUUGCUCAAUGCCACGUAAUCUAACCUCCCCACAACCAAAUCAUGACAAAUGUGCAAUAAAUAGCUGGUGCUGUCUCACCUCCCUGUACACAAAUCAGGAUGAAUGCUCAGUAAACGGGUUGCUGGCUUCCCCAGAGACUGCUUUUCAUUUAAUAAACAGACAAAUUAGGGCUUUUAAACACAUAUUUGCGAGUAACAUAAUCUUUCCCAGAAUUCUAGUGUUUGGCAGACAUUUUUUCCUCAGAUAAAUCCCUCAGCCCAUGUGCUCAUGAAGUGAAGUUGCAGGGAAGAAGGGAGUAAACUUCUCAUGUCAUGAUUUGUGUCCUUGUGGUGUAUGAUCUCCUCACUCCCAUUUGUCGACUCAUCAAUUUGUAGCCUGUCAAUGCGUCAUGUAACCUGCAGGACACUGAUAACAAAAACUGCAGCAAGCUUGAUGCUUUAAUAAUAACUAGCAGGGAAAGCAAGAGAAGGUGGUAGGGUGGCCACUUAACCUUUUUGCCACCCCCCCAAAAGAACAGAGGAUACAGAUCUGCAUAAGAUUUGCAUAUCCAAGCUUAUAUAUGUAUAGAUGCAAAUUUAGAAGUAGUUGCAACAAUUUAAAUUGAAAUGCAGUAUAUCUUGCCAUGGCAUGGGAGGCUGUGAUCAGAUGUCUUGCUGUGUUUCUGCUCAGUCUUCUGCCCAGGUUUUAACUGUUGAAAUGCCACUUCAGUAGAUUCAGUCUUCCUUUUUUAUCUUCAAAUGUAUGAUGUGGAUGUGACCAUCCUCCAUGAUUCCCUAAGUGGAAAGGAGCUGCUCUCAACACAUUUAUUAUUAUUAUUAUUAUUAUUAUUAUUAUUACACACAUUUCAAUUAAUGCAUUAAAACAGCGUUCAUAAGUUGAGCAGUGAUGGGCCCUGGAAUCAUAUUAAAUUAUGCACAUGCUCCAAACAGCAGUCACCCUGAUGAAAAACCCUCAGGUUUCAGGGCUGAGCUCCAUCACUGAAACAGGGUUUCAGUGGUAAAGUUGCCCCAGAUUAAGCCCAACACAGAACACAUCUUCAAGCGGAGUGUUGCUAGUUUGGUGCCAAGUCCUGCCACAACCUCACAACUCUAAGAAAUUAAAUGAAACCACAUCAUACUGUGAAAUGUAGCUCUUUGAUUCUCUCUCUUCCUCCUGCCUCCCCACACUCUUCAUUCUCAUUAAGGCGUGUGAUUAGUAUCUCAUCACUGAGAGUGACAGUGAGCAGGAAUCUUCUUGUUAAUUUCAACCAGGACAGGCUUGAGUUUUAAAUCCUAAACAAAAAUUAAAUGGCCAUGAAGCGCUUGCUCACCUCCCAGGAGAUAUUUCUGUUUCAGCCUGACAGCUUAAUUAAAAGCCAGGCAAACGGGAUAUGCAACAUGCUUAUCUAUCGCGUGGCACCGUGCUGUGAGUGCAGAGCCCAGGAAGGAGAGAGGUUUGCCUUGGCGCAAAUCACUGCAGUGAUUAAAUUUAAGAGAGGGGGAGUUUUGCCAGCAAAUUCAAUAUUCUUGGGCAAAACAUUCCAAUUAAAGUAACAUUCUCUCCAAUUUUUAGCAAACAUUCCUGCUCACGGGCGUUGGGUGGUUUUAGAUUUGAAAUUUAGCCGUUUGGGAUGUGGAAUUUUUAAAAUAUAAAUUUUAAAAUUUGAAAUUUUGAAUUCAGAUUUCAAAAAUUGCUAUACGAAUUGUUUUCCAAGAAGUGAUAGGAGCUGCACUAAUAAGGGAUGAUCACAAUAUUUUUUUCAACUUUUGUGGAAAGGAAAGGCGAUGAGGAAGGUGGUCGCACAGAAGUAUGAUUGGAGAGAAUUUCAUGUAUGAGGAGAAGCAAAGGGAAAUGGGCAGAGUCGCUUCAGGUAGCAAGGGUACAUUGGAUGGCCACAGUGGUGGAACUGGACUAGAGAAGGUUUCAGGAAGGGAAAGCAAGGGCAAGAAGUUUGUGCAGGCUGUGGGGGUGGACAGGGAGCCCCCCAAAGGAAUUUAUGGAAGAGAGGGGAGGCAGUGUGGUGAAAAAGAAGGUCUUCUUUUUCACCACACUGCCUCCCCUUAAUUUUUUAUUUUAUUUAUUUAGCAAAGUUUAUAUUCCACUUACUAGAGGAAAAGAUACACCAGUGGUUUAAAAGACAGCCUACAAUAUUCAUUUCAAACACUGGUGCUGGAGGGUCUAAUUCAGUGGGCUCUCACCUGUCAGCCUUGGGCUCAGAGGACCCUGAAAAACCAGCAUCAGACUCAGAGCUGGGAAUCUGAUUUGGCACCUCACCUGGUGAUACUGUAGCCUCUGGUUUGGGGUCCAGUGACAGGAGGCUUGGGUCAUGUACAAGCUGGAGAUUAGGUAUCAGAUCAGGGAAACAGAAUCAGAAGCAGGACAUACAGUCACAGACAAGUUAGAGGGCAAAUAUCAGACAGGAUAGAUGCGGUGGGUCUCGGGAUAAGAAAAGGCAGAGUACAUUCAGACGUGGGGAAUAUUGUGUUAGUUUGUUAUAAUGCUAGCUCAUCUGUCCUAUUUACUAACCUGAAACAUUAUGGAACUGUGGCUUUCUGAUCAAUAUACUGCCAUGACAUGCUAAAUUUCAUUCACAGCUAUGGGCAUGGGCAUGACACAACAGCAGAUGUCAUUGGACAACAUUGCUACUCCCCCACCCCUUCCAAAAAUGUGUGCUUCUGUUCCCCCAUGAAAGCAGCAGGAAAGAACUGGAUGCUGAUAUUUCAUCCCAAAAUUUAUCACUUUACACUACCAUUUUUUGGGGUUAUGGAGGCUGUAGACAGUUUUUUUUUCUGGAAUCAAAUAACACAGAAAUGAGCACUAAAUAUGCACAGCAUUCCAUUAGUUUAUCUGAAGCGGGUUUUAUGUUGUGCGAAAGCUCAGGUGUAAUUCAGAAAUUAACAGUUAGGGAAACAUCAGGAAAAUGGAAUAAACUCCCGAGUGAAUGCAGCCAGAGCCUGUAUUGUUACAUAAUAGGUCAGUUGUUUAGAUUAGCCUCAGAGAAAGAGGGUUUCUUUAAGGUCUUUGUGUCUCUCUAUUGAGCAGCUGACAGCACUCAGAACUAGAAUGCACCAUUGACCUUUGGAAACCUGUCUGUCUGUCUGGAGUACCACUGAUGCAGGAGAUAAGGGGCCUGAAGGUUGCCUGCUACAGGCCCUGAGUAAAGGCCCUUUCCUGACACCUUAGAAUCAUAGAACUGCGAAGUUGGAAGGGACCCCAAGGAUAAUCUAGUCCAGGGGUCGGCAACCUGUGUCUCAUGGGCCACAAGCGGCUGAUGGGGGUCAUUUAAAUGGCCCACGAGCCGCCCCCGAACCGAGCCACCCACUUGGCGAGUCCUGAUGCACUGCAGGAAUCUCAACUAAAGCAUACAUGACAGAUGAUCAUCCAACCUCCACUUAAAAGCCUCCAAGGAAUAAGAGUCAGCCACCUUCCAAGGGAGACCAUUCCACUGUCAAAUAACGCUUACUGUCAGAAACUUCUUCUUGAUGUUUAGUUGGAAUCUACUGUCUUGUGACUUGAAUGCAUUGGUUCUGGUCCUACCCUCUAGAGCAGGAAGAAACAAGCUUGCCCAUCCUCCAUGUGACAGGCCUGUAGAUAUUUGAAAAUGGCUAUCAUAACUCCCUCAACCAUUCCUCAUAAGGCUUUGUUUUCCAGACCCUUGAUCAUCUUGGUUGCAUUUCUCUGCACACGUUCAUACUUGUCAAUAUCCUUCUUAAAUUGUGGCACCCAGAACUGGAUACAUUAUUCCAGGUGUGGUCUGACCAAGGCAGAGUAGAGCGGGACUAUUUCUUCCCUUCAUCUGGACAUUAAACUUCCGUUGAUGCAGUCUAGAAUAGCAUUAGCUUUUUGCUUUUUUCUUUGCUGAAGCAUCACUCCCUUUGUAUUCCAGGUUCCAGUGCAGCAGAGGUAGACCCACUCCCUUACAGUUCCAUAUAAUUCUUCACCAGGCAAAAUAUGUAUUCAGGCUGUGCAAUAAACGCUUUUGAAGUCUCCAGUCCCCCCCCCCCCAAGUUAAGGCUGGACAUAUUUUUUUGCCCACAGAGGAAAAGCGAGAGAGAGAAGGCAGGCUGAAAUUGUCUUGAAAAAAAAGAGGGGAAAAAAAGAAAUUGUCUUGAAUUCUACUUUUAACAAAAUUGGCUUACCUUCAUAUUCUGUGGCCUAUAUCAAGUUCUGAACACUGCCUUUCAUCCAACAUGACUUUGUGGAGAUGAAGAGCUCAACCAGGCCCUGCUCCUGAGAAUGUCCCUUUCUUGCUUUGACAGUAUCAACCUGCCCCCCUGACCACUGGGACCUUUUGGCAAUUCAUCUUUCAGUCACCUAGUUUUCUGCAAAACAGCAAGUAGCGAGGAGGUAGCUUGCUUGCUGGCCAGAAUGAGCUGCCCCUGGACUGAAGUUGAAGUGGAGAAGCAGCCCCUGAUGUGAUAAGGAGGUGGGGGAGAGAAGUGGGAGGAUCACUUUGAUGUCUUCAAGAAAAUUUGUCAUUGAUACAAUCUCUUUUUCUUCCUCCCCACAAAGAUUUUCCACUGAAAAGACA